GAUGAACGCUGGCGGCGUGCCUAAUACAUGCAAGUCGAGCGAACAGAUAAGGAGCUUGCUCCUUUGAAGUUAGCGGCGGACGGGUGAGUAACACGUGGGUAACCUACCUAUAAGGCUGGGAUAACUUCGGGAAACCGGAGCUAAUACCGGAUAACAUUUAGAACCGCAUGGUUCUAGAGUGAAAGAUGGUUUUGCUAUCACUUAUAGAUGGACCCGCGCCGUAUUAGCUAGUUGGUAAGGUAACGGCUUACCAAGGCGACGAUACGUAGCCGACCUGAGAGGAUGAGACGCCACCCUGGAACCGCGACACGGUCCGGACUACGAAGGGAGCGAGCAGGGGGGAAUAUUGGCAACUGGGCGCAAGCCUGAUUCAGCAAUGGCGCGUGGUUGGAGAAGGCUGUCGGGUUGUAAAACCAUUUUUGUAGGGAAGAAAAGCAGUAGGGUAAUACCCAGCUGUGCUGACGGUACCGAAAUAAUAAGCAACGGCUAACUUCGUG
Molecule: ribosomal RNA, 497 nt
Filed under: uncultured bacterium
Lineage: Bacteria
Description: partial 16S ribosomal RNA
Rfam family: Bacterial small subunit ribosomal RNA
Source: RNAcentral